Molecule: long non-coding RNA, 263 nt
Filed under: Lathyrus oleraceus (garden pea)
Lineage: Eukaryota; Viridiplantae; Streptophyta; Magnoliopsida; Fabales; Fabaceae
Description: Pisum sativum (pea) long non-coding RNA (PSAT_LNC026907)
Source: RNAcentral
UGGUGGUUGAGAAAAUCAAGGGAGACUUGGUUUUGGUUGAGGGACCCGUGGAGAAAAGUUUGUUGGAGCAAAAUUUGGCACGUUUGGCUGACUGCUUCAAAGCGUACUUCAUGGAUGCGUGACGGUCGUCAUGGGCCUGUGACGGCCGUCAUAGGCUGGGUCGUGACGGUCGUCAUGAUCUGUGACGGUCGUCACAUCAACAAAUUCUGCAUUUCUUAUUUUCUGCUUUUUCAGUGCUUUCUCAUCUGUUUCUUCUUAUUUUU